GACGAACGCUGGCGGCGUGCCUAAUACAUGCAAGUCGAGCGAUGAAGAUUGGUGCUUGCACCAAUUUGAAGAGCAGCGAACGGGUGAGUAACGCGUGGGGAAUCUGCCUUUGAGCGGGGGACAACAUUUGGAAACGAAUGCUAAUACCGCAUAACAACUUUAAACAUAAGUUUGAAGUGUGAAAGAUGCAAUUGCAUCACUCAAAGAUGAUCCCGCGUUGUAUUAGCUAGUUGGUGAGGUAAAGGCUCACCAAGGCGAUGAUACAUAGCCGACCUGAGAGGGUGGUCGGCCACAUUGGGACUGGGACACGGCCCAAGCUCCUACGGGAGGCAGCAGUCGGGAAUCUUCGGCAAUAGACGAAAGUCUGACCGAGCAACGCCGCGUGAGUGAAGAAGGUUUUCGGAUCGUAAAACUCUGUUGGUAGAGAAGAACGUUGGUGAGAGUGGAAAGUUCAUCAAGUGACGGUAACUACCCAGAAAGGGACGGCUAACUACGUG
RNAcentral lists this ribosomal RNA (497 nucleotides) under uncultured bacterium. Its description in RNAcentral is "partial 16S ribosomal RNA". It matches the Rfam family "Bacterial small subunit ribosomal RNA", at positions 28 to 507 of the family's 1533-position model. The record is from RNAcentral.